Molecule: ribosomal RNA, 406 nt
Filed under: uncultured bacterium
Lineage: Bacteria
Description: bacterial SSU rRNA
Rfam family: Bacterial small subunit ribosomal RNA
Source: RNAcentral
AACGAACGUUAGCGGCGCGCUUAACACAUGCAAGUCGAACGAGAAAGGGCUUCGGCCCCGGUACAGUGGCGCACGGGUGAGUAACACGUGGGUAAUCUACCCUUGAGCGGGGGAUAACGUUCCGAAAGGAGCGCUAAUACCGCAUAAGACCACGCUCUCGAAAGGGAGCGAGGUAAAAGUAGGCCUCUGAAUUCACGCUUACACUCGAGGAUGAGCCCGCGGCCCAUCAUGGUAGUUGGUAGGGUAAUGGCCUACCAAGCCGAAGACGGGUAGCUGGUCUUAGAGGAUGAUCAGCCACACUGGAACUGAGACACGGUCCAGACUCCUACGGGAGGCAGCAGUGGGGAAUCUUGCGCAAUGGGCGAAAGCCUGACGCAGCGACGCCGCGUGGGUGAUGAAGGCCUUC